Long non-coding RNA from Phascolarctos cinereus (koala), 1575 nucleotides. RefSeq lists it as uncharacterized. NCBI's taxonomy places the organism in Eukaryota, Metazoa, Chordata, Mammalia, Diprotodontia, Phascolarctidae. The record is from RefSeq and is a predicted model, not a curated record.
GUAAUUCGGGUUAAGUGAUUUGCCCAGGGUCACACAGCUAGAAGGACCCCUGCUCUUCUGCAGCUGCAAGUACUAGUGCUCCUCUUGGCUCUGGAUCUGUGACAAGGGCCCCUGCUCCCUCCACCCUGGAAACCUAGAAGUGUGUAUUCAUUACCAAGGAUUAUGCCGUUCUACCUGCCUAGAAUGUUCUCCCCAUCUCAAACCUCUCUUCUGUCUCAAUUCAACCCAUCAUUCAGGGCCCAGCUUGGCUCCCCUCCAUGAAAACUUUUUUGUUAUGGAAAGAAAGACACUGAAGAUGUAAAAAUAGGAGAAGUUGUCUUCCUCAACUUUCCAAUUGGAAUAGUGCCAGCACCACUUAGAAAAUUCUUCUGGAGAUGGUGAUUCAUUCAUGGCCUUUGUUUAAAGGCCUCUGCCCUGGGUGGAGUCUUUGGAGAAUCCUGCCCUCCCCACCCCUUUCCUGGGGAAGGAUAGGUGAGUCAGAAAUCAACCUCGAAGAUAGAUUGAGAUUACCCAAAUCUAAAGACCUUCUAGUAUCUCUUCCCACACUUAUCGGUGCCCCACUUGACAUCUGAUGCUAUCAAAGUGGCUAAGUUGUGAAACUCAUUUAUUUGUUCCAUUAACAUCUUUCCUUUCUUGCUACCUAAUUUCUUUUGGAUUGUACCAGUUUCUUUCAGGCCUGGGCUAAUUGGCCACUGCAAGGACCAAGAAAACUCCAUGAGUCGGCAGAGCCUAAAUGGAUUCAUGAUAGAUGAUAAGGGAUAGUUAUUUUUCAUAUCCGAAUUUAUUUACAUGCAAUACUCCGUGAAAAACACACACAGAGUUUAAGUGAUUUGCUCAGCAUCACACAGCUUUUCAAGGCACAGCUGGGUUCUAACCCUAGUCUUCUUGGCUUCUCUAGUUAAUUCUCCACCUCUUCCCUUUACCACAUGGCAUUUGCACAAACACAGUUCCCAUUUACCUAUCCACUGUGUAGGCUGCUUUCCCUAAAGGCCCUUCACAAUCUCCCUCCAACCCACUUGUCCCGUCUUGGAGCUCUACAUAUAUUCCACUUUUUUAGCCAAGCUGGACUGUGCCUGGCCAAUCCUCCCAUUUCCAUGCCUUUGCUCAAACUCACUCCCUUUGCCUGAAAUGUAUACGCCCUUCUUUUAUCUCCAUCUGUGAAAAUCACUCCCUUUCUUCAAAACCCAAUUCACUGCUUCAUUCUCCUUGAAAGCCUUCCUCGAAUGCCCAGGUAAAAGUGAUCACUCUCUUUUAAAAUUUCUCAUAUUUUUUUCCGUGUACCUUCAUUUAAUUAUUUCACUUUUCCUGUAUCAUAGUUAUUUGUUUACUUGUCUCUAUGUUCUCACUCACACCUCUAAGCCCCAGAGAAUUUUAGGACUGGAAGGCUCCUUAAUUUAAUCCAACCUUUUCAUUUACAGAUGGGGAAACUGAGACUCACAGAGGAUAAAUGAUUUACCCAUAGUCAUAUAAGUAGUAAGUAGAGGAACCAGGAUUUCAAGCCAGGUCCUUUUAUUCCCAUUCUAAGUAUUAGAUUUUACACUUACCUCCAUGGAGGUAUGGAAUAGGUGUGGCUUA